This 426-nucleotide ribosomal RNA is filed under the name uncultured cyanobacterium. RNAcentral's name for it is "bacterial SSU rRNA". It matches the Rfam family "Bacterial small subunit ribosomal RNA", at positions 356 to 795 of the family's 1533-position model. The record is from RNAcentral. Lineage: Bacteria; Bacillati; Cyanobacteriota.
GGGGAAUUUUCCGCAAUGGGCGAAAGCCUGACCGGAGCAAUACCGCGUGAGGGAGGAAGGCUCUUGGGUUGUAAACCUCUUUUCUCAGGGAAUAAGAANCUGAAGGUACCUGAGGAAUCAGCAUCGGCUAACUCCGUGCCAGCAGCCGCGGUAAUACGGAGGAUGCAAGCGUUAUCCGGAAUGAUUGGGCGUAAAGCGUCCGCAGGUGGUUUAUCAAGUCUGCUGUCAAAGAGUUUGGCUCAACCAAAUAAAGGCAGUGGAAACUGACAGACUGGAGUGCGGUAAGGGCAGAGGGAAUUCCUGGUGUAGCGGUGAAAUGCGUAGAGAUCAGGAAGAACACCGGUGGCGAAAGCGCUCUGCUGGGCCGUAACUGACACUGAGGGACGAAAGCUAGGGGAGCGAAUGGGAUUAGAUACCCCAGUAGUC